UGCAGUCGCCGGCAGCAAAUAAGCCUGGUACGCUUGUUGCGCCGUGUUUGUCGACAAUAAUUUCGCCCAUGCGGUUGCGUUCAACCGUUCCUUCUAACCAUUCUGUGUUUGGCACGAGACCGAUUUGGACGAAUACACCUUGAAGUUCAACGUGUUUUUCUUCGCCUGUUUCGCGGUCUACAUAUGUGAUGCCGUUAACACUCUGAUCACCUGUGAUUUCUUUUGUUUGUGCGUUUUUUACAACAGUAACGUUAGGCAGGCUGUAGAGACGUUUUUGCAGGACUUCGUCUGCUUUCAGUUCCGGUGCGAACUCUAGCACAGUAACAUGAUUGACAAUACCUGCAAGGUCAAUCGCUGCUUCAAUACCAGAGUUUCCGCCGCCGAUUACCGCUACGUCUUUGCCUUCAAACAAUGGCCCAUCACAGUGCGGGCAGUAUGCGACACCUUUGUUUUUGAACUCUUGUUCACCUGGUACGUUGACAUUGCGCCAGCGUGCACCUGUUGAAAGGAUCACUGUUUUACUUUUCAGAACAGCGCCGUUUUCGAGUUCAAGUUCGAACAGAUCUUUCUUCUCAAGGCGUUUCGCACGCUGAAGGUUCAUGACAUCAAUAUCAUAUUCCUUCACAUGCUCUUCAAGACUUGCCGCAAGCUUCGGUCCUUCCGUCGCUUUGACGCUGAUGAAGUUUUCGAUGCUCAUGGUGUCGAGAACCUGUCCGCCGAAGCGUUCAGCGACAACCCCAGUGCGGAUGCCUUUACGUGCAGUGUAGAUCGCUGCACUUGCACCAGCAGGUCCGCCUCCAACAACAAGAACGUCAAACGGCUCUUUGUCAGCAAACUCAGAUGCAUCUGCGCCGCUGCCCAUUUUCGCAAGGAUUUCUUCAAGCGUCAUACGGCCGCUUCCGAAGGAUUCGCCAUUCAGGUAAACGGUCGGCACUGCCAUGAUGUUUUUGCUUUCAACUUCUGCCUUGUAUGCUGCACCGUCAAUCAUCGUGUGCGUAAUGUUCGGGUUCAGCACGCUCAUCAUGUUUAAAGCUUGUACAACAUCAGGACAGUUGUGGCAUGUCAGGCUGAUAUAAGAUUCGAAGUGGUAUUCACCGCUGAUCUUCUUCACCUGAUCAAUGACUUUUUGGUCCACCUUAGGCGGUCUGCCGCUCACUUGGAGCAGCGCCAACACUAAUGAUGUGAAUUCGUGGCCCAGAGGGAUACCGGCGAAAGUCACGCCAGUGUCUUCUCCGACACGAUUGACACUGAAGCUUGGCGUUCUGUUUAAUUCAGCUUUUUCAACUGAAAUUUUCGAUGACAUGGAAGCCAGCUCAUCAACGAGAGCCAGCAUGUCCUUAGAAGUGUCAUCUUCGCCUGCGCUAACUUUGAGAACAAUGUCAUUCUCAAUUAGCUGCAUAUAUUGAUUUAAUUGUGCUUUGAUGUUUGCAUCAAGUACCAAUUGAAUGCACUCCUUAGAUUUUACCUACUAGAUCAAGGCUAGGUGUAAGAGUUUCGCCGCCUUCUUCCCAUUUAGCCGGGCAAACUUCACCUGGGUUUUGACGAACGUAUUGAGCUGCUUUUACUUUGUUUACAAGGUUGCUUGCGUCACGGCCGAUACCGCCUGCAUUGAUUUCAACAGUUUGGAUAACGCCGUCUGGAUCGAUGAUGAAUGUUCCGCGGUCAGCAAGGCCAGUUUCUUCGUCAAGAACAUCGAAGUUGCGAGAGAUCGUUUGAGAUGGGUCGCCGAUCAUUGCGUAAGUGAUUUUGCUGAUUUUUUCAGAGCUGUCAUGCCAGCCUUUGUGUACGAAGUGAGUAUCUGUAGAAACAGAGUAGACUUCAACACCUAAUUCUUUAAGAGCAGCAUAUUGUUCUUGAAGAUCUUCAAGCUCAGUUGGGCAUACGAAAGAGAAAUCUGCUGGGUAGAAGCAGAAUACGCUCCAUUGGCCUUUCAAAUCUUCGUUUGUUACAUCGAUGAAUUCACCGUUUUUGAAUGCUUUUGCUUCGAAUGGAAGUACUUCUUUACCGAUUAAAGACAUAAUGUAUAUUCCUCCUAAAAAUGUAUUAGAAAGCAUAAUCGCUUUCAAUAAUAAUUCUAAUUAUAUAUGAAUUAUUAAUUAAUAUAUAUUUUUUGUCAAGCCAUAACCUACUUUUUUUCAUCUUACUAAAGGUGUGACAGGUAGGAUUUAUGCAUUUCUUUUAUAACAAAUGAGAGGCUGAUUCUCAAUUAGACAAGGUUUUCAGGGACUUUUGUAAAUCAGAAUGACAGGCCGUUUUGGCAUUUGAACAUUUUAUGACAUCAUGGUCAAGGGCAAAGGACAAUGGCCAAAAGCAGAAUAGAACGGAACAGCAAGCUGCUGUCACAUGAUGAUCUUGGGGAUUGUUUCUAGCUAUUAUUGUAUCACUGUUUAUGAUAUUUAAAACAUAACUUAUGUCUUCUGUUGUUUGGGAUAGAAGAAAAAAACACGGUUCAGUUGAAAACUGACCGUGUUUUUGAUGACAGGUUAUUCAGACCAAUUCGUAUGGAAAACGCCGUCCAUAUCAGUCCGUUCGUACGUGUGAGCGCCAAAGUAAUCGCGCUGCGCCUGCAAGAGGUUCGCAUUGGAACGCCCUGUGCGGUAGCCGUCGUAAUAAGAGAGCGCGGUAGUUAAGCAUGGGAAAGAGAUUCCGGUGCUGAUGCCCUCGCAAACGACUUUUCGCAGGCCUGUUUGAUAGGCAUGGAGCUUAUCUGUGAAAUAAGGCGCGAUCAGCAGGUUAGCCAGAUUUGGCUGCUCACUGAAUGCUUCGCUGAUCACGUUUAGGAAAUCAGCGCGGAUGAUGCAGCCGCCUCGGAAAAUCAAGGCGAUGUCUUUGAGCGGCAGAUUCCAGCCGUAAAGCUCAGAUGACAUCUUAUAUUGGGCAAAGCCUUGUGCAUAGGCGCAUACUUUCCCCAUGUAAAGAGCCUGUCUG
Molecule: ribosomal RNA, 2928 nt
Filed under: Bacillus subtilis subsp. subtilis str. BSP1
Lineage: Bacteria; Bacillati; Bacillota; Bacilli; Caryophanales; Bacillaceae
Description: 23S ribosomal RNA
Source: RNAcentral